UUUGCAAAGCUUUCCACCUGCAAAAUCCUUCAUUUAUGUGUUUCUCACAAUAUAUGAAGAACAUCCUGCUACGUCCUGUUCCAAAACCACCUGAUUCAGUUUUUGAACUUUUAUAUCAACGAUGGAAUUGGUGGUCUCGGAAAAAAGUUACAACGCCGGCUCUACAUUAAUAAAGCAAGAAUCGGCGGAAAACAUUAAAUAUGGCCGAGCGAAAACCUAUUUUCAACACAUCUGAUCCAUCCAGUAGCUCUCAAAAGAGAUCGAGAUCUACAGCUUCCUAUCAAACACCACUGCGGCCCACUUUACCCGAGCCGGAUGAGACUAAAAUGAAAGACCUUAUGCACCAGUUGCUGGUUAAAGACAUGCUGACAAUGUCAGAAGUUACCUUCGCUCAACGUCAAAUUGCUGAUUGCACCUGGGUCGCGGAUUCGUUUUUAAAAAUGUCGCAUGAGGAGGUGUGUAGGAUAAUUACCAAAGCACGAGAUGAGGAGGAUGCCUGGAAGAGGAAGCGGAGGAUGGAAUAAAGUAUUAUCGUUUCGUUUGUGUGUUAUUUGGCUAUUAAGUAUGGAUGACAAUUAAGUAUUUCAUUUCAUGACAAUAUGUAAUAUUUUAGUAACUUCUGAAUAUACUUCUCCACUAAUCACUAGUUUGGUCUUUGA
Molecule: long non-coding RNA, 659 nt
Filed under: Helianthus annuus (common sunflower)
Lineage: Eukaryota; Viridiplantae; Streptophyta; Magnoliopsida; Asterales; Asteraceae
Source: RNAcentral